GGGGGCGUCACGGUUUCGACGUGUUUGGUGAAGUUGGGGCUGCGUGUCGAGGUUCCGGGAACCUCGUUAAUCCACCGGAAAAACCAAUAGACGCCAACGAUAACCUGGCUCUGGCUGCGUAAGGUAACCCCUUAGCGGUCCGUCUCCUGAUCAGCCUGCCUGGGGCGGGUCAACGAGACGUCAGCAAUUCAGGCUGGCCACUCGAGGGUGCUGUCCCCGAGAGGGCGAGAAACUCAGGCAGCUAGCCCGGACAGGUUGUUCCCUGACCUGGCCGAUCGCGAAAACAAACAGGGCUCUACGCACGUAGAAGCUCCCACGGAUCAAUUCGCGGACGCGGGUUCGACUCCCGCCGCCUCCACU
RNAcentral lists this transfer-messenger RNA (360 nucleotides) under Gemmatimonadales bacterium. It matches the Rfam family "transfer-messenger RNA". Rfam says of the family: Bacterial tmRNA, also known as 10Sa RNA or SsrA, is named for its dual tRNA and mRNA-like properties. Its role is to liberate the mRNA from a stalled ribosome. To accomplish this part of the tmRNA is used as a reading frame that ends in a translation stop signal. The record is from RNAcentral. Lineage: Bacteria; Pseudomonadati; Gemmatimonadota; Gemmatimonadia; Gemmatimonadales.